AUAAUUUUCAAGAUCAGAUGAAGCGGGAGUUGGCCUACAGAGAAGAAAUGGUUCAACAAUUACAAAUUAUCCCCUAUGCAGCAAGCUUGAUCAGGAAAGAAAAACUUGGCACACAUCUCAGCAAAAGCUAAAAGCAGGACCACAAGAUCCUCUUGUAAGAUACUACCCAUCACUCUGCGUUUGGAUGUAUCUGAAGACUGAAAAUGGAAGGACCUUGAGUAUUUAAGAAAAACAACAAGGACGAAAUAAAAAUGGAAACAGCUCUUCUAAGGACAAGCGGCCUCAAAGCUUUAUGGACAACCAUGUACAUUAGAAAGUAGCAGCCAUUUAUUAAUUUAAAAAACAAAAGGAAAAUUUAAAAACUGGAAAGAAGUCUUGGCUCUUUUUGAUGGUACCAAAGUUUGGUUCGGUGUUUUAGAAGGACUCCUGAAUGUGAUAGAAUGUGAAAAGGCUGUGGCCAUCUGGAUCGACCCAGGCAAAGGAUCUCCCGGUGCUUCCGACUCCAAUGCCAUGAAAACGUCUGAGAGUUUGGUUCUUCUCCUUUUGUAGAACGACUCCUCUACAGAGUGUGGUCUAGGCAGACGUGGGGGAGAGUGACCCCUGGAUGUAUGGAUGGAAAUGCAUUAGCCAUAUCCGGCGCUUUCUGAAAGCAGACUGGAAAUUACAAGAGUGCUCACAACUUCCUUCUAUUUCCAGGCUCUCUCCUGGUACUUUGCUUGCUGUAUGAAUGAAGACGAUACUCUUCCGGAAAUAUUUUACAAUGUAUGAUUGAGUGUAAUUAAAAAAUAUAACCACUCAGACUAAAAACAAAGGUAUUUAACUCUGUUGUAGUUUCUUUAACAUUCAUGUGGAUUAAAAACAAAGUCUAUA
Molecule: non-coding RNA, 870 nt
Organism: Python bivittatus (Burmese python)
Lineage: Eukaryota; Metazoa; Chordata; Lepidosauria; Squamata; Pythonidae
Source: RefSeq, a predicted model, not a curated record